GGGGACCCGCACAAGCGGUGGAUGAUGUGGUUUAAUUCGAUGCAACGCGAAAAACCUUACCUACCCUUGACAUGUCAGGAAUCCCGUAGAGAUAUGGGAGUGCUCGAAAGAGAAUCUGAACACAGGUGCUGCAUGGCCGUCGUCAGCUCGUGUCGUGAGAUGUUGGGUUAAGUCCCGCAACGAGCGCAACCCUUAUCAUUAGUUGCUACGCAAGGGCACUCUAAUGAGACUGCCGGUGACAAACCGGAGGAAGGUGGGGAUGACGUCAGGUCAUCAUGGCCCUUAUGGGUAGGGCUACACACGUCAUACAAUGGCCGGUACAGAGGGCGGCCAACUCGCGAGAGGGAGCUAAUCUCAGAAAACCGGUCGUAGUCCGGAUCGCAGUCUGCAACUCGACUGCGCGAAGUCGGAAUCGCUAGUAAUCGCGGAUCAGCUUGCCGCGGUGAAUACGUUCCCGGGUCUUGUACACACCGCCCGUCACACCAUGGGAGCGGGUUCUGCCAGAAGUAGUUAGCCUAACCGCAAGGAGGGCGAUUACCACGGCAGGGUUCGUGACUGGGGUGAAGUCGUAACAAGGUAGCCGUA
This 585-nucleotide ribosomal RNA is filed under the name uncultured bacterium. Its description in RNAcentral is "bacterial SSU rRNA". It matches the Rfam family "Bacterial small subunit ribosomal RNA", at positions 915 to 1504 of the family's 1533-position model. The record is from RNAcentral.